UUGAUGUUGAUUUAGUUCUGUAGAAGAAUAAUCUUUUGGACAAGAGAACAUUGAGCAAGGUUCUAUGCACACCUGUUUGUAGAUCGCGGUGCGGGCAAAUGAUCAGUUUGUUUGAGUUGUCAGCAAAGAGAUAAGAAUUCUUAUAUACCGACCUGCAUGAUAUAGAUAUUUUUGUACCUAUAUAUGUAUGUUAUACUAAUGAUCCAGAUAAGUAAGAAGCAAAAAUAGUUUUAUGAUGGUGUUUGUAUUAAAUCAUAUUUUGAUCAAAUGUGCUUAUGAUUAAUAGUAUGAUGGACGUAUAUACGAGUAUAACUUAUACUUGCAUAAUUGGACUAAUGGAUGUGGUGCUCUGGACUAAUCAUAUUAUAUUGAUUCAUCACAUGCAAAAAAUGUGACCAUAGUUAGUUUUAAGCCGAUAAUAAAAAGAAAUUGACGUGUGAAUAUGAACUUGAUUGAAUGAAUAAGGACUUUGGGCUUAUCUCGUUAUCAUCGGUUUUGCCAUCACAUACUGGAAAUGUGAUACUGUGGCAAGCCCCGUCACAGGCUGAAAAUGUGAUACUUUGGCAGGCCCUGGUAAAGGCUAGAAAUGCAAUAUCUUGGCAGGCUCCAUCAUAGGCUGAAAAUGCGAUACUAUUAGUUGUCCUAUCACAGGCUGAAAAUGUGAAACUAUUGGUUGCGCCGUCACGAGCUAGAAACGCGACCGAAAUUUGGCUCAAAGUCGAAAAGAUAAUUGAACCGGAUAAAGUUAAAAAAGAAUGGAAU
RNAcentral lists this long non-coding RNA (762 nucleotides) under Phoenix dactylifera (date palm). RNAcentral's name for it is "long non-coding RNA (PDAC_LNC006705)". Lineage: Eukaryota; Viridiplantae; Streptophyta; Magnoliopsida; Arecales; Arecaceae. The record is from RNAcentral.